ACCUCGGUGGUGUAAUAGUAACGCGCGUCCUCGGUAUGGAUGAAACGCGGGUUCGAUUCCCGCCUGAGAUC
Non-coding RNA from Parelaphostrongylus tenuis, 71 nucleotides. Lineage: Eukaryota; Metazoa; Nematoda; Chromadorea; Rhabditida; Metastrongylidae. The record is from the annotation of a GenBank genome assembly.